Long non-coding RNA from Trematomus bernacchii (emerald rockcod), 2622 nucleotides. RefSeq lists it as uncharacterized. The record is from RefSeq and is a predicted model, not a curated record. The transcript is spliced from 3 exons. Lineage: Eukaryota; Metazoa; Chordata; Actinopteri; Perciformes; Nototheniidae.
GAUAGGCUACGUCAACAUGCAUUUCUCCCGUACUUUACUAGACGCAAACACGUUAUGCUGUUUUACUUUGCACUAACGUAAAUGUUCAUGAAGUUAAUGCUCACAUCCGUUCACAGAUGUGGACGGAGGGUUAACGGUCAUAGACACUUGGCUAUUUAAUGAAGUACUGUAAUAACUUUAAAUGUAAUUCGUAUUUACUAUGUGGUAGUGUACUAAAGUUAACAUGUAUAUGAAGGCUACCAUAGGGCGAAUAUUAUUAUUAUAAUAUAAUAAGUAUCAUUCAUUUUUUAAAGUCAGACCUCUGAGGUUAAGGUUAAUGUUGAGCUGUUGGAAAAGUGUUGGCUAGCAUUAUCUUUUAAAUCAGAACCAACUUUUACUCAUGUUAUUUUUCUUAUUUCUAUUCAGACUGUUACUACAUGUUUAUUCUUAUUUCAUAUUCACGUAAGGCCAUGUGUGACUAACUGUAGAAACACUUGAUGUGAUAUUAAUCUAACUGUUGCCUCUCAAUCUCAAUGUCAGUUACAGGAACUGGAUCAGGAGGCAGUCCGUCUGGAGCCCCGGGUCCCAACUGGCGCAGCUUAAAGAAUACAUAGAGAGAAGGGACCAGGAGAAGCAGUCUGUCGCCUCCUCAGCUGCAUCAGCAGUUGCCACCUCCUCAGCUGUCUCCCCCUCCACUACAUCUCCCCCAAAGAGCGGAGGAAGAGAAAGGCAGUGGUCCUGUCUUCCUCAGAGGACGAAGACGACCAUCUGAUGGUGGGGGCAGCGGCUCAGGUGGAGGCUGAUUUAGCAUCUCCUCCUCCUCCUCCUCCUCCUCCUCCUCGUCCUGCCCACCAGCAGAGAGCUCUGCCAACUCCACCACUUCCACUACGACAAGUCGCUCCUACCCCUCAGGGCUACCCCCCUGUAAUAAUGUUGUUAUAAACAUCUAGUAUCAGUGUGUAGUUUAAAGCUGCAGCUCAGUGACCUGUGUGUGUGUUGCAGCUGCUCCUGCCGGCAGCCUGGAUGAGCAGCCCUCCCUGCAGAGCAGCACGAGUGGGUCAGCAGGGCUCUGUUUGUGGCUGACAAAGAAGGGAGGCCCGUCCUGUCCCCGGAGUUCCAGCUGUGGCACCACCCCCCCGGCCCCUGGCCGAAGUACUCCCAGCGAGUGCCGUUCACUGCCUAGAAAUGGACCAUAAAGCCCUUACAGAACAUUGCCAAGGGAUCAAUGCAGCUAUCACCAAGCCGGAGGCGGAUGUCAUUGAGAAGGCCACUAAAACACAGGCCAAAUCCAAACUCUGGUAUCGAUACAGAGCUGGGCGGAUUACAGCAUCUCGUAUGAAGGCAGCAUGUUCAACAAGUGCAACUAAACCAUCGCUUAGCUUGAUUAAAGCUAUUUGUUACCCGGAAGCCACAACAUUUAAAACUGCAGCUACUGAAUGGGGAUAUAAUCACGAGAAAUCAGCACGUGAAGAUUACAUUGCAAUUAUGAACCGACAUGGCGGUUUCAUUUGCCAGGACUCUGGGCUCGUGUUAUCGCCAACAUUUCCAUAUUUAGGUGCUACUCCAGAUGGUGUUGUGUCCUGCAAGUGCUGUGGUGUAGGUGUUUUGGAAAUUAAAUGCCCCUACUGUGUUGCUGCACCGUUAGACCAUACAUGCCUGGAAUCACGUGAUGGACAGGACAGGCUGAAGAAGACCCAUGCCUAUUUUUGUCAAGUGCAGACCCAGUUAUUUCUAUGUGAUGUUGAAUAUGCUGACUUUGUUCUGUGGGUGAAUGGAAAGAUUCAUCUUGAACGCAUAACCCCAGAUAUUGACUUUUGGGAGAAGGUAUACCCCAAAGCUCAUGAAUUUUUUCAGAAGGUCAUUCUCCUCGAGUUGAGUGGGCAAUUCUUCACCAGAAUUUCCAGUGCAACUACACCAGUCUCCAUUACUGCACCAAAAAGGCCUCUGUGCCUGAUACCAGACCCCGCUCCAGUCUGACUCAGCCAACCGAUACCCAACCACUGAUACCCAAAUGGUGCCUUUGUCGUGGAGAGGAAAAGCUUCCCAUGAUAGAAUGUGAUAACACAAAUUGUGAAACUACCUGGUUUCAUUUUGAACGUGUUGGUAUAACAGUUGCCCCCAAAGGAAGCUGGUAUUGUGACAAAUGUCAUCAGUAUGCCCCCUCUCAAAAGAAACAGAAGUAGGCUACUAAUCGAUCUGAAUGACAGUGUGUUUAUUUAUUUGAUUCAACAUGUUUCUUUUACAUCAAAUCUAUAUAAAGAACAUGUAAGUGUAACAAUCAAAAAAAGUUGUGCACACUAAAAUGACACAAAAAGCAUCAUUAUUUAAACUGACACUCAAAGAGCAAAACCUCAGCUCAAAUCUCCAAAACUCUUAACACAUUUUCAGCUCUGCACCCAAUUUGCAAUUCUACUUUCCACCUUUUGAAAAGUUUCUGCACAUAUUUUUUUGUCGACUUGAACAAUCUUUACUUGCUGAAUUCUCUAUAUCAAACGCCAUAAAAGAUCAGUGUGCUUGAGCACGAUGGUGUGUAGUUGGUUUUACAAAAUGUCUUGUACUAUGAAUGAAGUGUGUGCCAUUUGGUGCAAAAGUUUGGUUUUGGUAAGUGUUUAUGUAGUUUUGGGUGUUUUGCACUUUGUGUGU